CGCAUGGUAGGAGAGCGUUCCGUAAGCCUGCGAAGGUGCCUUGUAAAGGGUGCUGGAGGUAUCGGAAGUGCGAAUGCUGACAUGAGUAGCGAUAAAGGGGGUGAAAGGCCCCCUCGCCGUAAGCCCAAGGUUUCCUACGCAACGUUCAUCGGCGUAGGGUGAGUCGGCCCCUAAGGCGAGGCAGAAAUGCGUAGCUGAUGGGAAGCAGGUCAAUAUUCCUGCACCGUCGUUAGAUGCGAUGGGGGGACGGAUCGCGGAAGGUUGUCCGGGUGUUGGAAGUCCCGGUCGCUGCAUUGGAGAAGGCGCUUAGGCAAAUCCGGGCGCAGGAUUCAAGGGUGUGGCGCGAGCGACUUAGGUCGCGAAGCAAUUGGAAGUGGUUCCAAGAAAAGCCUCUAAGCUUCAGUCUAACGAUGACCGUACCGCAAACCGACACAGGUGGGCGAGAUGAGUAUUCUAAGGCGCUUGAGAGAACUCGGGAGAAGGAACUCGGCAAAUUGGUACCGUAACUUCGGGAUAAGGUACGCCCUUGUAGCUUGACCAGCCUGCGCUGGAAGGGUGAAGGGGUUGCAAUAAACUGGUGGCUGCGACUGUUUAAUAAAAACACAGCACUCUGCAAACACGAAAGUGGACGUAUAGGGUGUGACGCCUGCCCGGUGCCGGAAGAUUAAAUGAUGGGGUGCAAGCUCUUGAUUGAAGUCCCGGUAAACGGCGGCCGUAACUAUAACGGUCCUAAGGUAGCGAAAUUCCUUGUCGGGUAAGUUCCGACCUGCACGAAUGGCGUAACGAUGGCCACACUGUCUCCUCCCGAGACUCAGCGAAGUUGAAGUGUUUGUGAUGAUGCAAUCUACCCGCGGCUAGACGGAAAGACCCCAUGAACCUUUACUGUAGCUUUGCAUUGGACUUUGAACCGAUCUGUGUAGGAUAGGUGGGAGGCUAUGAAACCGGAACGCUAGUUUCGGUGGAGCCGUCCUUGAAAUACCACCCUGGUUUGUUUGAGGUUCUAACCUUGGCCCGUGAUCCGGGUCGGGGACAGUGCAUGGUAGGCAGUUUGACUGGGGCGGUCUCCUCCCAAAGCGUAACGGAGGAGUACGAAGGUACGCUAGGUACGGUCGGAAAUCGUGCUGAUAGUGCAAUGGCAUAAGCGUGCUUAACUGCGAGACCGACAAGUCGAGCAGGUGCGAAAGCAGGUCAUAGUGAUCCGGUGGUUCUGUAUGGAAGGGCCAUCGCUCAACGGAUAAAAGGUACUCUGGGGAUAACAGGCUGAUACCGCCCAAGAGUUCAUAUCGACGGCGGUGUUUGGCACCUCGAUGUCGGCUCAUCUCAUCCUGGGGCUGUAGCCGGUCCCAAGGGUAUGGCUGUUCGCCAUUUAAAGAGGUACGUGAGCUGGGUUUAAAACGUCGUGAGACAGUUUGGUCCCUAUCUGCCGUGGGCGUUGGAUAUUUGAAGGGGGCUGCUCCUAGUACGAGAGGACCGGAGUGGACGAACCUCUGGUGUACCGGUUGUGACGCCAGUCGCAUCGCCGGGUAGCUAUGUUCGGAAGAGAUAACCGCUGAAAGCAUCUAAGCGGGAAACUCGCCUUAAGAUGAGAUAUCCCUGGAGGCUUGACCUCCUUGAAGGGUCGUUCGAGACCAGGACGUUGAUAGGUCAGGUGUGUAAGCGCAGUAAUGCGUUCAGCUAACUGAUACUAAUUGCCCGUAAGGCUUGAUCCUAUAACA
This 1715-nucleotide ribosomal RNA is filed under the name Burkholderia ubonensis. RNAcentral describes it as "bacterial LSU rRNA". It matches the Rfam family "Bacterial large subunit ribosomal RNA", at positions 1222 to 2925 of the family's 2925-position model. The record is from RNAcentral. Lineage: Bacteria; Pseudomonadati; Pseudomonadota; Betaproteobacteria; Burkholderiales; Burkholderiaceae.